AUAUUUACUGCUAGGGCUACUCGGGUAUCUUAAUCCGAUUUGGUUUUCCUAGCCUAAGCCACUCACCGUCGGAAUGCAUUCUGGUCAGGCGCCUUCGCCACCGGUGGUCCUUAUAGGAUUACAGGAUUUUACCCCUACCCCAUAAGUACCCCUGACCUCUCCUGCUCCCUAGCCAGAAGGUAUCCCGCGCCAGCCUCAACGUUAGGCGUUGAGAUUUCACGUGGGACGGUUCUGGCAGGCUACUGGCCCUUUAAGCCCAAUAAUCGUGGACACCACUAGUGCCGCCGGUAUUACCGUGGCGGCUGCCACCGGUCUUACCCAGCACUUAUUCGCCAAGCUAUUUAGACUUAGCAAAAGGCAAACCGAAGUUCGCCACUCAGACUCCCCCUAUCACGCUUUCGCGCAUUGUAGAGGUUUCGCGCCUGCUGCACGCCGUAGCGCUAGGACCCUUGUCUCAGUGUCCUUCUCGGGGCUCUUGCUUCCACAACCCCUACAGGUCAAAGGUAUGGUGGGCCGUUACCCCGCCAUCUGCCUGAUCUGACGCAGUCCCAUCUUCGAGCGGCCGUGCUACAAUUCACACGGCAAUUUGAGCUAGGAUUCCAUUUCAGAGUCCCUAGCCUAUGGCGUUUUAGCCACAGUUUCCCAUGGUUAUCCGCCUCUCGAAGUUAGAUUGACUACGUGUUACUGAGCAGUAAGGGCGAAUUCCAGCACACUGGCGGCCGUUACUAGUGGAUCCGAGCUCGGUACCAAGCUGGC
Molecule: ribosomal RNA, 756 nt
Filed under: uncultured archaeon
Lineage: Archaea
Description: partial 16S ribosomal RNA
Source: RNAcentral